Molecule: unclassified non-coding RNA, 229 nt
Filed under: Funneliformis mosseae
Lineage: Eukaryota; Fungi; Glomeromycota; Glomeromycetes; Glomerales; Glomeraceae
Description: partial contains 5.8S ribosomal RNA and internal transcribed spacer 2
Rfam family: 5.8S ribosomal RNA (bases 1-71)
Source: RNAcentral
GUGAAUCAUCAAAUUUUUGAACGCAAAUUGCACUCCCUGGUAUUCCGGGGAGUAUGCCUGUUUGAGGGUCGUUAGAAGAAAAAUCGAAGCAUCGCUCUUUUUUGGAGGGUGAUCGCGUGGGAAUUGAGCCGUCUUUCAAAUGUUAAUUCAUGUCAAAGUGGUUUAAAAUUCAUCAAUUUGGUACGAUUUAAGCGUAUUCAAGUUCAAUUUUGAUUUAGAUAGUGGGAUG